Molecule: ribosomal RNA, 439 nt
Filed under: uncultured Acholeplasma sp.
Lineage: Bacteria; Bacillati; Mycoplasmatota; Mollicutes; Acholeplasmatales; Acholeplasmataceae
Description: bacterial SSU rRNA
Rfam family: Bacterial small subunit ribosomal RNA
Source: RNAcentral
UCAUGUUGUUUAAUUCGAUGAUACGCGAAGAACCUUACCAGGUCUUGACAUCCCCUGCAAAGCUAUGGAGACAUAGUGGAGGUUAUCAGGGAGACAGGUGGUGCAUGGUUGUCGUCAGCUCGUGUCGUGAGAUGUUGGGUUAAGUCCCGCAACGAGCGCAACCCUUAUUGCUAGUUACCAUCAUUGAGUUGGGGACUCUGGCGAGACUGCCAGUGAUAAACUGGAGGAAGUGGGGAUGACGUCAAAUCAUCAUGCCCCUUAUGACCUGGGCUACAAACGUGAUACAAUGGCUGAAACAAAGGGCAGCGAAGCAGUGAUGUGGAGCGAAACCCAAAAAAGCAGUCUCAGUUCGGAUUGAAGUCUGCAACUCGACUUCAUGAAGUCGGAAUCGCUAGUAAUCGCGGAUCAGAACGCCGCGGUGAAUACGUUCUCGGGGUUU